This 791-nucleotide ribosomal RNA is filed under the name Physconia perisidiosa. RNAcentral describes it as "SSU rRNA". It matches the Rfam family "Bacterial small subunit ribosomal RNA", at positions 353 to 1213 of the family's 1533-position model. Lineage: Eukaryota; Fungi; Ascomycota; Lecanoromycetes; Caliciales; Physciaceae. The record is from RNAcentral.
UUGGAGGAAUGUAUAGCGAAAGCUAGUUGCAUUUAACUUAGCGAAAGCUAAGUUGAUGCAGGAUUGACUAUGUCAAAUAAAGUUCUAGGUGGGUUAUGAUGAUGACAUUUCCUAUCUAUGUGUCUUGACCAAAUUACGUGCCAGCAGUCGCGGUAACACGUAAAAGACUAGUGUUAUUCAUCUUUAAUAGGUUUAAAGGGUACCUAGACGGUAAAUCAAGUCCAAGAAGGGUACUAAUUUUACUAGAGUUUAAUAUGAGGGGGCACUAAAGUACUGAUAAGUGUAGAGAUGAAAUUCUGUGAUACAAUAUACGGCACUGGUAAAGGCGAAAGCAUCUCAUUAUGUAAUAACUGACGUUGAGGGACGAAGGCUAGGUGUAGCAAAAAGGAUUAGAUACCCAAGUAGUCUUAGCAGAAAAUUAUGAAUGUCAUAGGAUGGAAAGUUGGAUGGACAAACAACAAAUUUUUUUUCUAUAAAUGAAAGUGUAAGCAUUCCACCUCGAGAGUAAUUUGGCAACAUUGGAACUGAAAUCAUUAGACCGUUUCUGAAACAAGUAGUGAAGUAUGUUGUUUAAUUUGAUGGUCCGCAAAAAACCUUACCACAAUUUGAAUAGAAAAAUUUUUUUUUCAUACAAGCGCUGCACGGUUGUCUUCAGUUAAUGUCGUGAGAUCUUGGUUAGUUCCAUUAAAUUAACGUAAACCCUUACUCUAUUUUUAUAUAGAGUAGUUCACCGCUAGAUUGGAUGUGAUAACAGGGACUAAGACAAGUCAUCAUGGCCUUAAUAUUGUGGG